CCAAUAGCGUAUAUUAAAGUUGUUGCAGUUAAAAAGCUCGUAGUUGAAUUUUGGGUCUGGCCGGGCGGUCCGCCUUCUGGGUGAGUACUGUUCCGAUGUCGGACCUAUCCUUCUGGUGAGUCGGCAUGCCCUUUACUGGAUGUGUCGGGGAACCAGGACCAUUACCUUGAAAAAAUUAGAGUGUUCAAAGCAGGCGCAUGCUCGAAUACAUUAGCAUGGAAUAAUGAAAUAGGACGCGUGGUGCUAUUUUGUUGGUUUCUAGAACCGCCGUAAUGAUUAAUAGGGAUAGUUGGGGGCAUUAGUAUUAAAUUGUCAGAGGUGAAAUUCUUGGAUUUAUUGAAGACUAACUUCUGCGAAAGCAUUUGCCAAGGAUGUUUUCAUUAAUCAAGAACGAAAGUUAGGGGAUCGAAGACGAUCAGAUACCGUCGUAGUCUUAACCAUAAACUAUGCCGACUAGGAAUCGGGCGAUGUUAUUUUCACGACUCGCCCGGCGCCUUAUG
RNAcentral lists this ribosomal RNA (500 nucleotides) under uncultured Glomeromycotina. RNAcentral's name for it is "partial small subunit ribosomal RNA". It matches the Rfam family "Eukaryotic small subunit ribosomal RNA", at positions 591 to 1092 of the family's 1831-position model. The record is from RNAcentral. Lineage: Eukaryota; Fungi; Glomeromycota.